ACGCCCGUAGUAUACCUAAGAGUGGGUGUGUAGUAAUUAGUUUUACCAGAGGACGGUUGGCGAGAGUUUAUCACUCUUGUUUGCCUACUUUUGGUAGACUUUAGUCGGGCUGGAUCUUUGGUCCUCGUCUGACAGUUGCUACGUACUUACUUACCACGGUUCAUCCGUGAGGCCCUUGGCUUGCAACUGUAAAUAAAUCGUUGUGCUUAAAGCGGGCUAUGAUACUCUGCCAGAGCGAUUUAGCAUGGGACUGCAGAGUAGCUGUAUUUGAGCGAAGGUUGCACCUCGGUGUGGCUGGAGCUUGGUACAGCGCUUGUAAUGGAGCUCAGGGUGAGGCCCCGGGUACCAUGAGGCUAGAGGUGAAAUUCUGAGACCCUCAUGUGACCAACUAAGGCGAAAGCUGUCGUGGGCCACCACAAGCUCGUCUAUCAGGGACGAAAGUUGGGGGAUCGAAGACGAUUAGAUACCGUCGUAGUCCCAACUAUAAACGAUACCAACCGAGUAUUUGGGAAGACACUAUCCCAGCGAUCUUCUCAGAACUCAAGGGAAACCUUAAGUCUUUGGGUUCUGGGGGGAGUAUAGUCGCAAGACCGAAACUUAAAGGAAUUGACGGAAAGGCACCACCAGGAGUGGAGUCUGCGGCUUAAUUCGACUCAACACGGGGAAACUCACCAGGUCAGGACACAAGUUUGAUUGACAG
This 700-nucleotide ribosomal RNA is filed under the name Naegleria gruberi. Its description in RNAcentral is "SSU rRNA". It matches the Rfam family "Eukaryotic small subunit ribosomal RNA", at positions 624 to 1246 of the family's 1831-position model. Lineage: Eukaryota; Heterolobosea; Eutetramitea; Acrasida; Naegleriidae. The record is from RNAcentral.